This is a long non-coding RNA of Trichogramma pretiosum, 304 nucleotides long. RefSeq lists it as uncharacterized. The record is from RefSeq and is a predicted model, not a curated record. The transcript is spliced from 3 exons. NCBI's taxonomy places the organism in Eukaryota, Metazoa, Arthropoda, Insecta, Hymenoptera, Trichogrammatidae.
CAAUGAUUUUUAAGUUUAAAAGUGUUAAAUUUUUCUUUUAUUCAUUUGGUUUUUUGAAUCAGCCCGUAAAAAAUGAGUCAUUUUGAAGAGGAUCAGGAAUAGAAUCAAUGAAGAAAACAUCAUAAAAUAAAUUUGAUCUAAACACUGGUACAGUAAAUACUAAAGGUUGAUCCAUUUUCAAAGUUUUGAAAAUAUCUGCUUUGACCUAUUUAUGCAGUGGCAGUUAGAGCAAUUAUUGGUACUUCUGGUCUUUUGUCACGCAACUGAAUAAGCUUUCUAUAACUGGGCCUAAAAUCAUGCCCCC